RNAcentral lists this ribosomal RNA (253 nucleotides) under uncultured bacterium. RNAcentral describes it as "partial 16S ribosomal RNA". It matches the Rfam family "Bacterial small subunit ribosomal RNA", at positions 524 to 776 of the family's 1533-position model. The record is from RNAcentral.
UACGAAGGGGGCUAGCGUUGCUCGGAAUGACUGGGCGUAAAGGGCUCGUAGGCGGCCAACUAAGUCAGACGUGAAAUCCCCAGGCUCAACCUGGGAACUGCGUCUGAUACUGGAUGGCUUGAAUUCGGGAGAGGGAUGCAGAAUUCCAGGUGUAGCGGUGAAAUGCGUAGAUAUCUGGAGGAAUACCGGUGGCGAAGGCGGCAUCCUGGACCGACAUUGACGCUGAUGAGCGAAAGCUAGGGGAGCAAACAGG